This 73-nucleotide transfer RNA is filed under the name Streptomyces phage Faust. Its description in RNAcentral is "tRNA-Gln". It matches the Rfam family "tRNA". From Rfam's summary of the family: Transfer RNA (tRNA) molecules are approximately 80 nucleotides in length. Their secondary structure includes four short double-helical elements and three loops (D, anti-codon, and T loops). Further hydrogen bonds mediate the characteristic L-shaped molecular structure. tRNAs have two regions of fundamental functional importance: the anti-codon, which is responsible for specific mRNA codon recognition, and the 3' end, to which the tRNAs corresponding amino acid is attached (by aminoacyl-tRNA synthetases). tRNAs cope with the degeneracy of the genetic code in two manners: having more than one tRNA (with a specific anti-codon) for a particular amino acid; and 'wobble' base-pairing, i.e. permitting non-standard base-pairing at the 3rd anti-codon position. The record is from RNAcentral. Lineage: Duplodnaviria; Heunggongvirae; Uroviricota; Caudoviricetes; Stanwilliamsviridae.
UCCCCUUUAGUGUAACCGGCAGCACCACUGAUUUUGGUUCAGUUAGUCCAGGUUCAAAUCCUGGUGGGGGAGC